AUGAGAUGAAGAGGGAGGCAUCACUUUCCUUUUUUGUUUAGUACUUGGAGCGUUACUACUUCCUUAUUAUCUGUUUUGCUGUAUAUAUUCAUACAGAGAGAACAGCUCUUCGCCCUACUUCAUCUGGUCAAAGCAGUUUUGCUGACUGGAAUUCCUAUUCUAUUCUGAAAGUCUUCUGCCAUGUAGCAACCGCCUAUGCCUAGGAUCUUAACAAGAAUGGCCCUGCAUUCUAUGAAUUCUGUUCUUGGUUAUGUAUCAGUUUGAUUGAUUUGUCUUCUAUGAAUUCUGAUUCACUUGAAUUUGUAAAAGAAUGAUGAUCGGGUGUGAAAACUAUAUGCCAGUAUUCUGCUUAUGGUAGAUCAGCCACCAUCAAUUCCCAAAAGAAGAUUGCAUUUCUACCAUGAGUAGUUUUUCCUUGGCGGCUGGCAGUGGGCCAAGAUCUAUGGUUGGAUGACCAUUUGAUAUUGAAUAAUAUCCUAAAAAUAAGAUGAAUAUUUUUUGAAUCAAAUCUUGACUAACUUCAUUGAGGAUGGGCUGCAUGAUGGGCAUGGGCUGUAGUUCUAAUGUUUGCGGGCAUGCCAUUAAAACCAAGGAUUAUAUUGAGGAUGCUUAUCUAGAAUCCAUGCUCAGCACCCAAUUCUCUGUAUGAAGUAUGCUUUUCUAGGACCAAGGCUUCAUGACACCCACAACCAAUCAGCUAAAGUUCAUUAUUAUUUUUAACAUAUGCUGCAUCUAUUGUUGUUGAAAAAUGAUCUUCCUUGCUAGAUCGAGAAAGGCCAUUGCAACUAGCAAGAGCUUCAAGAAAAAAGGGAUGUGCUUUGGUCUCACAUCAAUACGACCAUUUCAUUCAGCUAUUUGUUUUUUUAUUGGCAUCAAUGCUGCCAUUUCAUUCACUUAUUGCUUAGAGCUUUUUCAUGUCAAGUUGAUUUCUGGCAUGGUUAACCUAUGUUUGAAAAAUCAAAAUCUACAGGGAAUUCUACUAGGUAGAUUCAAUAGAAUUGAAUAAAAAAAUUAAAAAUUAAAAAUAGGACAAGUUGGAUUUUUUUUAGUAAUUGCAUAAAUGCACUGAUUUUGUUGCUCUCAAUUCUCAGAUCUCAGUUGAAUUAAUUAACUCAGUUUUGGAGGAUCUCUUACAUGUUAGGAUGCAACUAAAGGUUAUUCAGGUGGACCAACUAUGUAUGUUAUUCAGUAAUCUGGCUGUCUGUCCAAACAUUAUUCAGUACUUUGUAUUUGUAUGGUAGGCAAGGUUGGUGCACCCAGAUAAAAAUCCUGGAGAUCCAAAGGCAGCUCACAAUUCAGUGUUUGGUUGUGCCGCUGAAAGUGACAGAGGAAAGAGACCAUUGAUGACGAAAAUUGCAACCAACAAAAGUGAUGUAACCAUGUUGACAUCAGACAAUCCAAAGAUCCAUGUAUGUAAUCUAGACCAUAAUUCAUAGAUGUUUUGCUUAUCCCACUCGCAUAUAUGAGCCCUACCCAUCUACACAUAAGCCCAUGCCAAUACAGCACACGCGUGAUAUCUAACCUUUCCAUUAGGUGGGCUACACUGUUUAGAUCUUUUGGCAUAAACAAAAAAACAGGCUGUUUUACUCCUCAGGUGGGUGACACCGUAAAUAGCAAUGGAUGUUUAGGAUGGUCUUUUUCACCAUUUGUUUUGUACCAUGUGGCCCACCUUAAAUGUGCUAUGGAUGACAUUUUAAGUCAAAAUAUUUAGUCAGUGUGGCCACCUGAUGCAAAGCUCCUGUUUUACCCCUCAGGUGGGUGACACUGUACAUAACAAUGGAUGUCUAGAAAUAAUUUUUUCACCAUUUGUUUUGUAAGAUGUGAUAUGGCCAACAUUUUAAGUCAGAAGAUUUAGUCAGUGUGGCCACCUAAUGUCAAGCUCCGAUAUUGCUGUCUGCUAUAUUGUCAUGAAUGUGUGUAGAUGGGCAGGUCUUUAUUCCCACGUAUGCUUGGCAAACUUCAUUAUCCAUAUAUUUUGCAAGUGCUGCUCUAACAUAUAA
Magnolia sinica is the source of this 2000-nucleotide long non-coding RNA. RefSeq lists it as uncharacterized. The record is from RefSeq and is a predicted model, not a curated record. The transcript is spliced from 2 exons. NCBI's taxonomy places the organism in Eukaryota, Viridiplantae, Streptophyta, Magnoliopsida, Magnoliales, Magnoliaceae.